UGGGGAAUUUUGGACAAUGGGCGAAAGCCUGAUCCAGCAAUGCCGCGUGUGUGAAGAAGGCCUUCGGGUUGUAAAGCACUUUUGUCCGGAAAGAAAUCCUUGGCUCUAAUACAGUCGGGGGAUGACGGUACCGGAAGAAUAAGCACCGGCUAACUACGUGCCAGCAGCCGCGGUAAUACGUAGGGUGCAAGCGUUAAUCGGAAUUACUGGGCGUAAAGCGUGCGCAGGCGGUUUGCUAAGACCGAUGUGAAAUCCCCGGGCUCAACCUGGGAACUGCAUUGGUGACUGGCAGGCUAGAGUAUGGCAGAGGGGGGUAGAAUUCCACGUGUAGCAGUGAAAUGCGUAGAGAUGUGGAGGAAUACCGAUGGCGAAGGCAGCCCCCUGGGCCAAUACUGACGCUCAUGCACGAAAGCGUGGGGAGCAAACAGGAUUAGAUACCCUGGUAGUCCACGCCCUAAAACGAUGUCAACUAGUUGUUGGGGAUUCAUUUCCUAGUAACGUAGCUAACGCGUGAAGUUGACCGCCUGGGGAGUACGGUCGCAAGAUUAAAACUCAAAGGAAUUGACGGGGUC
This 572-nucleotide ribosomal RNA is filed under the name uncultured bacterium. Its description in RNAcentral is "partial 16S ribosomal RNA". It matches the Rfam family "Bacterial small subunit ribosomal RNA", at positions 355 to 920 of the family's 1533-position model. The record is from RNAcentral.